Molecule: long non-coding RNA, 2495 nt
Organism: Cyprinus carpio carpio
Lineage: Eukaryota; Metazoa; Chordata; Actinopteri; Cypriniformes; Cyprinidae
Source: Ensembl
GGUUUGGAAUCUGAUUACGUAAUCCAGAUUACAUGUAAUCCAUUACUACCCAUCUCUGCAUGCAAUCAAGGUCUUCGGAUACUAAUAAAGACACAAGUUUAUUUAGGCUAUUUAAUAUGCUCUGUGACAUUUUCACCCGUUUCAACUUAUAAACUCCUUGAGAUUUAAAAGUCAGUUUGAGAUUCAAAUUAAAUCAAGUUAAAAAUAAAAAUAAAAAAUACCUGAAGGUCUACGAAACAUCAGUCAAUAAAGCAUUUUUUAAACAAUGGCACUUAAAGUUUUGAACUAAAACAUUAUUUCAAGCAUAUAGCCUGUGAAUGAAUGACUAAAAAUGCAUACUUCUCAAUGAAAGAACACUUAAAGAGAGUGUAGGUUGUUCUGGUGUUUGGAUUGAUACUUCAAUAUAAUGAGGUCCAAGUUUAAGAAUAGCCAACACUAGGGUUUAGUUUGUUUGUUGUUGUUUUUCUAUUUAACAGCAUUAAAGGUGCCAUGUGUCAUGUCUGGCAAAAAAAAUCAAGUCAUACUCCACAUUCCAUACCAGAUGGGGGCAGUAUGCCUCAAUAAAGUGAAUUGGUCUACUCUAGAGUAACAAACGAGAAACGGCAUAGUCUCUAUGCUCCGCCCCUACCUUCACAACAACCCUAGAGCCAUAGCCGAAGCCUAAGAGGACGUUUUGCCUCCAGAGGAACGUUGGGUGAUGUCAAGUGAUUUUGAACAUCAGACAGCUGAUGUUGACCAAGCUAGCGCCAACCAACGUAACCAGAGCUGCCAACUCUCAAGCAUUCACCGUGAGACACACGCAAUUGACUCUUUUCACACGCUUUCACGCCACACAAUCAAGUUUGAUUUUCAUUAGCAAAAACUUGACCGCUCUGAAUAUAGUGAGUGAGUGCACGCGCGGCCGGGGCGCUCGCUCUCUCUUCUUAGGUAAUGUUACAUUUUAGCAUCAGCUUGGUAGAGACGGGCUUUGGUAGAUAACAGGUGAAAACCGGAUCGGAUCUGUGGGUAAGUUAUAGCUAGCUAAUUAUCAAACGCAGCUACGGUUAGCCAUCGCUAACAUUAGCACGUUUAUCGAACAGCCUUCGAUACAUUUCUGUUAUAACUUCCCGAAAAAAAUACGCAAACAUAUAAAACAAACUUCUAGCGAAAUACUAAGAGCAUCUUACUUACCAAUCCAAAAGAAAUGUUGCAAGUUCGGAGUCGAACCUCAUUUCUUUCAAGUCCAUCAGUUGUCUCCAGCGAUGGAAAGCAGUGCCGAUGUUUAGUCUGGUUCGGCUCCUUUUCUUAUCGGAUUUGAUUUGUGAUUCCGAGCGCGGUUGUUUCCCUGUAGCGGGUGGUGGUGGUAGGUGUCUCUUGCCAAGGGCUUCAGCCAUCCUUCCGCUCUCUUCCCUGAACUAAAAUGAAGUAGUGGGCUGUACUUUCCACACGAUUGACAUCAGGUUCAAGUACGCCCACAAGCCGUGCGAGUUAUUCGUGUAUUGCAGGUUGGCUGGUGGUUAUGUUGCCCGCAUACCGCCUCCCAUGGCCGAAACUGGUAUUACGACACCUGUCAGGCCGUGGCUAGUAAUGCUAAUGCUAAUUAAGGUUGAUAUCUCUGCAGCACUAUAACUUGACAUUUUUUUAAUGACAUCAUCGCCCUUAUUUCUUCUCAUUCUUUUGAUGCGUGUAGGUCAUUUUUUGGAUAUUUUUACCUCAAUUUUUACACAUGGCACCUUUAACUUACAAUGAAAUACGUCUUCCUUCAGGUAGACUGAAUGUUUUCCUGCCUUGCUAAAUGUUGGGCUCAUGAUAAAUAAGUUGCAUUCACCUCAAACUGAUUUUGUAAAAUCAAAAGGCGGACUGUGAACCUGGGUGCAGUUAGCGCGAGUCGCGCGCGCUGUGAACGCCUCAAACGCCUACGUUCACAAAUAACAAUGAUUUUUGCAAAAGGAAUGAUUAAUUAUCAAUUAAGAAUUUGUUAUUAUUAUGGUCUAGUGAAAAUAAUAAUAUGGGCUGCGAGAAAAUAAUAAAUAAAAAGAGUAGGGCUGCUGUGAGUGCAGGCAGCAUAUUUCAACCCAGUAGCAUGACAACAUACCGGCCCUAGUGGCCAAAAAACAGACCGAAUCCUCCUGGUGCUCCCGAUUAGCCAAUCCGGGCCUGAAUAAACAAAACUUCCCUUCUCCAGACACUAGGGUUGGGUAUCAUUUGAAUUUUAUUGAUUCCUAUUCCGAUUCUGCUUAUCGAUUCCGAUUCUUAUCGAUUCCGAUUCUUAUCGAUUCCUAGUUUCGAUUCCAAUAAGAAAAAAAAUCCAAUAUAAAAAAAUUAAGUCAAACACUUAGAUGUCAAACAUGUAUAUUCUGUCUUUUUACAAAGCAUUCUGUUGCAGCUGAAUAACAUGAGCAAAAAUCAGCAGCCUACAAAAAACUGCAAGAGGAAUAUUGCCUGUGCUUUAAAAAAUAAAUACCAUAGCAAAAACAACUAGAUUAAUAUAAAUUUCAAAUAUUAAAGUGUUAAAG